UAUAAAUUUAGUAAGAAUAAAGUAAUUGUUUUAUGUUGUAGGUUUUAAAAAAUUAGUAGUUUAGGGUACUGUGAAGGAAUAAUUAAAAAGUUUUUGGUUUAGUUUUCUUUUACCUUUUGUAUCAUGGUUUAAUAAUUCUUGUUUUCAUUUGGAAAAUUUACCCGAAUUAUUAUGAGUUAACAAUUUCUUUUUUUAGAAAUUUAUUUUUGGAUCUUUCCAUUAGAGAAGUUUUUGUUAGUGGUUAAAUGCUAGUCGUAUAGUAAUAUAGCUGGAUUUGGAGAUUUUAGGUUUUCUUUAUGGUUGUUAGUUUUUCUUUUUUAUAAAGUUUAUAGGGGAUUUAAAAAGAGGGGUUAAGCUUUCUUUUUGCAGAUAUUAAGUCUUUGUAUUUACUUAAAGUUAUUUAUUUUUUUGUGUUAAGGUUUAAGUGGGGUUAGUGGCAUUUAAGUCCUGAUUGGGGUUAAAUUUCUUUUUAUAGCGUUAAAGCGUUAGCGUUUAAGUUGUUUAAAAGUUUUUCUUUAUGUUUAAGAUUCUCUUUUUAGUUUUUUCUUAGGUAAUUCUGUUAAGAUAAGUAAUUUUAUUCUAAGUACUUUAAUUUAAAGUUAAAAAUUAAGUUAUUUUGAGGAAUUAGGCAAAAUAAACUUCGCCUGUUUACUAAAAACAUCGUUUUUUGCUUAAAAGUUUUGUGGUAUAAGAAAUCGGUACUGCCCAGUGCGUUAUAGGUUGUUUCUUCUAUAGGUUAACGGCGGCGGUAUUUUAACUGUCCUAAGGUAGCGUAAUCAUUUGGUUUUUAAUUGGAAUCUGGUAUGAAUGGGUUGACGAGGGUUUUUCUGUCUUAAUUGGCUGUAGUGAAUUUAAUUUUAGGGUUAAAAAUCCUUUUUGUUUUUUAGGGACGAUAAGACCCCGAUGAGUUUAUUCUUUUUUUUGGUUGUUUUCUUUAAAAUUGAUUUGGUUGGGGUAACUUGUAGGUUAGUACAGUUGUUUCUUUAUAAUUUAUGUUUAUUUAUUAAUUUAAAUAUGUUUUUAUAGUUUCUUGAAAGUUGUUUUUAAAGUAAAGUAUUUUUAGGUUUGUUCUUAGUUUAGAUAAGGUUUCUGGUUUUGAUCUAGGUUAAUUCUUAGUUAAUGAAAAAAUUACCACGGGGGUAACAGCGUGGUUUUCUUGGAGAGUGCAUAUUGAAGAGAUAGUUCGCGACCUCGAUGUAGAAUCAUUCUUUCCUGGUGGGGCAGUAAGUACCAAGGGUGGGUUUGUUCAACCUUUAAAAGAAUACGUGAUUUGUGUUUAGACCGUGGUAACACAGGUCAGGUUCUAUCUUAAAUUUUCUUCUUUUCUUGUACGAGAGGACUGGAAAGUUUGAAUUUCUUGUUGGUUUUAAGUUUAGUUUUAUAAGA
RNAcentral lists this ribosomal RNA (1386 nucleotides) under Rhabdopleura sp. NHMO H2136. RNAcentral describes it as "16S ribosomal RNA". The stretch from base 1141 to 1298 matches the Rfam family "Bacterial large subunit ribosomal RNA", at positions 2475 to 2632 of the family's 2925-position model. The record is from RNAcentral. Lineage: Eukaryota; Metazoa; Hemichordata; Pterobranchia; Rhabdopleurida; Rhabdopleuridae.